This 482-nucleotide ribosomal RNA is filed under the name uncultured bacterium. RNAcentral's name for it is "partial 16S ribosomal RNA". It matches the Rfam family "Bacterial small subunit ribosomal RNA", at positions 30 to 507 of the family's 1533-position model. The record is from RNAcentral.
AUUGAACGCUGGCGGCAUGAUUUACACAUGCAAGUCGGACGGUAACAGGCCGCAAGGUGCUGACGAGUGGCGAACGGGUGAGUAAUGCAUCGGAACGUGCCCAGUCGUGGGGGAUAACUACUCGAAAGAGUAGCUAAUACCGCAUACGAUCUAUGGAUGAAAGCGGGGGACCGUAAGGCCUCGCGCGAUUGGAGCGGCCGAUGUCAGAUUAGGUAGUUGGUGGGGUAAAGGCUCACCAAGCCAACGAUCUGUAGCUGGUCUGAGAGGACGACCAGCCACACUGGGACUGAGACACGGCCCAGACUCCUACGGGAGGCAGCAGUGGGGAAUUUUGGACAAUGGGCGCAAGCCUGAUCCAGCAAUGCCGCGUGCAGGAAGAAGGCCUUCGGGUUGUAAACUGCUUUUGUACGGAACGAAACGGCUCUGGUUAAUACCCGGGGCUAAUGACGGUACCGUAAGAAUAAGCACCGGCUAACUACGUG